GCCGGGUUGGUGGAACGGCAUACACAGAAGCCUCAAAAGCUUCCGCCCGAAAGGGCUUGCGGGUUCGAAUCCCGCACCCGGCA
RNAcentral lists this transfer RNA (83 nucleotides) under Kitasatospora sp. MAA4. Its description in RNAcentral is "tRNA-Leu". It matches the Rfam family "tRNA". From Rfam's summary of the family: Transfer RNA (tRNA) molecules are approximately 80 nucleotides in length. Their secondary structure includes four short double-helical elements and three loops (D, anti-codon, and T loops). The record is from RNAcentral. Lineage: Bacteria; Bacillati; Actinomycetota; Actinomycetes; Kitasatosporales; Streptomycetaceae.